AUUGAACGCUGGCGGCAGGCCUAACACAUGCAAGUCGAACGAGUGGCGGACGGGUGAGUAAUGUCUGGGAAACUGCCUGAUGGAGGGGGAUACCUACUGGAAACGGUAGCUAAUACCGCAUACCAUACACUUUUCCCAGAUGGGUUUCGCCUGUUGGUUGGUUAACGGAUAACCAAGUCGACGAUCCCUAGCUGGUCUGAGAGGAUGACCAGCCACACUGGAACUGAGAAACGGUCCAGAAUCCUACGGGAGGGAGCAGUGGGGAAUAUUGCACAAUGGGCGCAAGCCUGAUGCAGCCAUGCCGCGUGUAUGAAGAAGGCCUUCGGGUUGUAAAGUACUUUCAGCGGGGAGGCGUUACCCGCAGAAGAAGCACCGGCUAACUCCGUGCCAGCAGCCGCGGUAAUUC
This 406-nucleotide ribosomal RNA is filed under the name uncultured bacterium. Its description in RNAcentral is "partial 16S ribosomal RNA". It matches the Rfam family "Bacterial small subunit ribosomal RNA", at positions 30 to 526 of the family's 1533-position model. The record is from RNAcentral.